Molecule: long non-coding RNA, 423 nt
Filed under: Mus caroli (Ryukyu mouse)
Lineage: Eukaryota; Metazoa; Chordata; Mammalia; Rodentia; Muridae
Description: predicted gene 15976 (MGP_CAROLIEiJ_G0002982.1)
Source: RNAcentral
CCAACUAUGUCCUGGCAUUCCUGGCCCUGGGGAAGAGGAGUCCUUUGUGCUGUAGUCCUGUUGGGGUCUCUGAGAAAAUGCAGAGGAAGGUCCUUUCCAGGCGGCCCUGGGCCUGCUGCCGCUGACACAGAGCUCUGACUUUGUGCCACUCUUCCUUCACAUCUUGGGACCAAAGUAAUUACAAAGACCCAGGAAGGGCAAAAGGGCCCAGGCUGCUGGCCCGAGUCUGACCCCUAGAACUCACGGUGUAAAGGGAAGGACUCUGACCUCUGCACCUGCACUGUGCGUGCCUGACACGCCCCAACUCCCAAGAAAGAACAUGAGGAAAAAACCAAACCAAAACAAAACCAAAACCCCAGGAUAAGUUCCUAAAGAAACUUUCAUGAAGAAAAUAUAAUUUCAAUACAGUGACAAUAUAGUCUA